This 497-nucleotide ribosomal RNA is filed under the name uncultured bacterium. Its description in RNAcentral is "partial 16S ribosomal RNA". It matches the Rfam family "Bacterial small subunit ribosomal RNA", at positions 28 to 507 of the family's 1533-position model. The record is from RNAcentral.
GAUGAACGCUGGCGGCGUGCCUAAUACAUGCAAGUCGAGCGAACAGACGAGGAUCUUGCUCCUCUGACGUUAGCGGCGGACGGGUGAGUAACACGUGGAUAACCGACCUAUAAGACUGGGAUAACUUCGGGAAACCGGAGCUAAUACCGGAUAAUAUAUUGAACCGCAUGGUUCAAUAGUGAAAGACGGUUUUGCUGUCACUUAUAGAUGGAUCCGCGCCGCAUUAGCUAGUUGGUACGGUAACGGCUUACCAAGGCAACGAUGCGUAGCCGACCUGAGAGGGUGAUCGGCCACACUGGAACUGAGACACGGUCCAGACUCCUACGGGAGGCAGCAGUAGGGAAUCUUCCGCAAUGGGCGAAAGCCUGACGGAGCAACGCCGCGUGAGUGAUGAAGGUCUUCGGAUCGUAAAACUCUGUUAUUAGGGAAGAACAAAUGUGUAAGUAACUAUGCACGUCUUGACGGUACCUAAUCAGAAAGCCACGGCUAACUACGUG